UAGCAUAUCAAUAAGCGGAGGAAAAGAAACUAACAAAGGAUUCCCCUAGUAACUGCGAGUGAAGCGGGAAAAGCUCAAAUUUAAAAUCUGGCAGCUUUGGUUGUCCGAGUUGUAAUCUAAAGAAGCGUUUUCCGCGCUGGACCGUGUACAAGUCUCUUGGAAUAGAGCGUCAUAGAGGGUGAGAAUCCCGUCUUUGACACGGACUACCAGUGCUUUGUGAUGCGCUCUCAAAGAGUCGAGUUGUUUGGGAAUGCAGCUCAAAAUGGGUGGUAAAUUCCAUCUAAAGCUAAAUAUUGGCGAGAGACCGAUAGCGAACAAGUACCGUGAGGGAAAGAUGAAAAGCACUUUGGAAAGAGAGUUAAACAGUACGUGAAAUUGCUGAAAGGGAAACGAUUGAAGUCAGUCGCGUUUUCUAGAACUCAACCAGGCUUGCUUGGUGUAUUUUCUAGUCAACGGGUCAACAUCAGUUUUGAUUGUAGGAAAAAGAUUAGAGAAAUGUGGCAUCUUCGGAUGUGUUAUAGUCUCUAGUUGUAUACUACGGUUGGGACUGAGGAACUCAGCACGCGUAAGCUGUGCUUAGGAUGUUGGCGUAAUGGCUUUAAACGACCCGUCUUGAAACACGGACCAAGGAGUCUAACAAACCUGCGAGUAUUUGGGUGGUAAACCCGAGUGCGUAAUGAAAGUGAAAGUUGGGAUCUUUGUCAUGGAGAGCACCGACGCCCAGGUCAGACCUUUUGUGACGACUCUGCGGUAGAGCAUGUUUGUUGGGACCCGAAAGAUGGUGAACUAUGCCUGAAUAGGGUGAAGCCAGAGGAAACUCUGGUGGAGGCUCGUAGCGAUUCUGACGUGCAAAUCGAUCGUCAAAUUUGGGUAUAGGGGCGAAAGACUAAUCGAACCAUCUAGUAGCUGGUUCCUGCCGAAU
Molecule: ribosomal RNA, 922 nt
Filed under: Efibula sp.
Lineage: Eukaryota; Fungi; Basidiomycota; Agaricomycetes; Polyporales; Irpicaceae
Description: partial large subunit ribosomal RNA
Rfam family: Eukaryotic large subunit ribosomal RNA
Source: RNAcentral